UAAUACGGAGGGUGCAAGCGUUAAUCGGAAUUACUGGGCGUAAAGCGCACGCAGGCGGUCUGUCAAGUCGGAUGUGAAAUCCCCGGGCUCAACCUGGGAACUGCAUUCGAAACUGGCAGGCUAGAGUCUUGUAGAGGGGGGUAGAAUUCCAGGUGUAGCGGUGAAAUGCGUAGAGAUCUGGAGGAAUACCGGUGGCGAAGGCGGCCCCCUGGACAAAGACUGACGCUCAGGUGCGAAAGCGUGGGGAGCAAACAGGAUUAGAUACCCUGGUAGUCCACGCCGUAAACGAUGUCGAUUUGGAGGUUGUGCCCUUGAGGCGUGGCUUCCGGAGCUAACGCGUUAAAUCGACCGCCUGGGGAGUACGGCCGCAAGGUUAAA
This 378-nucleotide ribosomal RNA is filed under the name uncultured bacterium. Its description in RNAcentral is "bacterial SSU rRNA". It matches the Rfam family "Bacterial small subunit ribosomal RNA", at positions 521 to 898 of the family's 1533-position model. The record is from RNAcentral.